RNAcentral lists this small RNA (28 nucleotides) under Bombyx mori (domestic silkworm). RNAcentral's name for it is "ovarian small RNA-16146". Lineage: Eukaryota; Metazoa; Arthropoda; Insecta; Lepidoptera; Bombycidae. The record is from RNAcentral.
GAUGACUCCAUCGCGGAUAUCCUCAGGA